RNAcentral lists this ribosomal RNA (866 nucleotides) under Diplodia guayanensis. Its description in RNAcentral is "LSU rRNA". It matches the Rfam family "Eukaryotic large subunit ribosomal RNA", at positions 38 to 916 of the family's 3401-position model. Lineage: Eukaryota; Fungi; Ascomycota; Dothideomycetes; Botryosphaeriales; Botryosphaeriaceae. The record is from RNAcentral.
GCAUAUCAAUAAGCGGAGGAAAAGAAACCAACAGGGAUUGCCUUAGUAACGGCGAGUGAAGCGGCAACAGCUCAAAUUUGAAAGCUGGCCCUUUCAGGGUCCGCAUUGUAAUUUGUAGAGGAUGAUUCGGCGAGGGCUCCCGCCUAAGUCCCCUGGAACGGGGCGUCAUAGAGGGUGAGAAUCCCGUAUGCGGUGGGCUGCCUUAGCCAUGUGAAUCUCCUUCGACGAGUCGAGUUGUUUGGGAAUGCAGCUCUAAAUGGGAGGUAAAUUUCUUCUAAAGCUAAAUACCGGCCAGAGACCGAUAGCGCACAAGUAGAGUGAUCGAAAGAUGAAAAGCACUUUGGAAAGAGAGUUAAAAAGUACGUGAAAUUGUUGAAAGGGAAGCGCUUGCAACCAGACUUGUCCGCAGUUGCUCAGCCGGGUCUCCUGACCGGCGUACUCUUCUGCGGCCAGGCCAGCAUCAGUUCGGGCGGUCGGAUAAAGACCUCGGGAAUGUAGCUCCUCUCGGGGAGUGUUAUAGCCCGGGGUGGAAUGCGGCCAGCCUGGACUGAGGAUCUCGCUUCGGGCAAGGAUGCUGGCGUAAUGGUUGUAAGCGGCCCGUCUUGAAACACGGACCAAGGAGUCUAACAUCUAUGCGAGUGUUUGGGUGUCAAAACCCAUACGCGUAAUGAAAGUGAACGGAGGUGGGAACCCGCAAGGGUGCACCAUCGGCCGAUCCUGAUGUUCUUCGGAUGGAUUUGAAGCAAGAGCAUAGCUGUUGGGACCCGAAAGAUGGUGAACUAUGCCUGAAUAGGGUGAAGCCAGAGGAAACUCUGGUGGAGGCUCGCAGCGGUUCUGACGUGCAAAUCGAUCGUCAAAAUUUGGGG